Molecule: ribosomal RNA, 511 nt
Filed under: uncultured bacterium
Lineage: Bacteria
Description: bacterial SSU rRNA
Rfam family: Bacterial small subunit ribosomal RNA
Source: RNAcentral
AUGGCUCAGGAUGAACGCUAGCGACAGGCUUAACACAUGCAAGUCGAGGGGCAUCACGGGAGUAGCAAUACAACUGGUGGCGACCGGCGCGACGGGUGAGUAACGCGUAUGCAACCUACCUAUCAGAGGGGAAUAACCCGGCGAAAGUCGGACUAAUACCGCAUAAAACAGGGGCACCGCAUGGUGAUAUUUGUUAAAGAAAUUCGCUGAUAGAUGGGCAUGCGUUCCAUUAGGUAGUUGGUGAGGUAACGGCUCACCAAGCCGACGAUGGAUAGGGGAACUGAGAGGUUGGUCCCCCACACUGGUACUGAGACACGGACCAGACUCCUACGGGAGGCAGCAGUGAGGAAUAUUGGUCAAUGGGCGGGAGCCUGAACCAGCCAAGUCGCGUGAAGGAAAAGAAGGAUCUAUGGUUCGUAAACUUCUUUUGCAGGGGAAUAAAGUGCAGGACGUGUCCUGUUUUGUAUGUACCCUGAGAAUAAGGAUCGGCUAACUCCGUGCCAGCAGCUGC